UUAAAAAAAAAAAAAAAAAAGGCCUGUAAAAAUCACAUAUGUAGGAGCAAGGCAAUCUACGAAAGCCUAUAACAUUUGCACUUCCAGAUAUAGAAUGUGUCUAAAUCAAGAAUGCCCCUAUAGGAUUUCUUGUUUCUCCAUGCUAAUUGAAUCUAAAAAGUCUACAGUGAUUAUCCCAGUAGAAUAUGCAAAUCAAGAAAUCACACAAGAAUUCAUUACUGUACAAAAGAAAAUUAAAAAAAUAUUAUGUUUAAAAGAAGAAGAAGAAGAAG
This 272-nucleotide unclassified non-coding RNA is filed under the name Hevea brasiliensis (rubber tree). The record is from RNAcentral. Lineage: Eukaryota; Viridiplantae; Streptophyta; Magnoliopsida; Malpighiales; Euphorbiaceae.